RNAcentral lists this ribosomal RNA (497 nucleotides) under uncultured bacterium. RNAcentral's name for it is "partial 16S ribosomal RNA". It matches the Rfam family "Bacterial small subunit ribosomal RNA", at positions 28 to 507 of the family's 1533-position model. The record is from RNAcentral.
GAUGAACGCUGGCGGCGUGCCUAAUACAUGCAAGUCGAGCGAACAGACGAGGAGCUUGCUCCUCUGACGUUAGCGGCGGACGGGUGAGUAACACGUGGAUAACCUACCUAUAAGACUGGGAUAACUUCGGGAAACCGGAGCUAAUACCGGAUAAUAUAUUGAACCGCAUGGUUCAAUAGUGAAAGACGGUUUUGCUGUCACUUAUAGAUGGAUCCGCGCCACAUUAGCUAGUUGGUAAGGUAACGGCUUACCAAGGCAACGAUGCGUAGCCGACCUGAGAGGGUGAUCGGCCACACUGGAACUGAGACACGGUCCAGACUCCUACGGGAGGCAGCAGUAGGGAAUCUUCCGCAAUGGGCGAAAGCCUGACGGAGCAACGCCGCGUGAGUGAUGAAGGUCUUCGGAUCGUAAAACUCUGUUAUUUGGGAAGAACAAAUGUGUAAGUAACUAUGCACGUCUUGACGGUACCUAAUCAGAAAGCCACGGCUAACUACGUG